Non-coding RNA from Oncorhynchus mykiss (rainbow trout), 1369 nucleotides. NCBI's taxonomy places the organism in Eukaryota, Metazoa, Chordata, Actinopteri, Salmoniformes, Salmonidae. The record is from RefSeq and is a predicted model, not a curated record.
AACCUGGAAAUAAUGAAUUCGCUGCCAAAGUCCACACGACAAUUUCUUUCACACACUUUAUCAUGAGUAAAAUGUAUCAGUGUGCUGAAAUCUGCUUGCCAAGAAAGAAAAAAGUCCGCGAGUCUUUCCACUCAAAUACAUACAGGAUAUUUGAUGAAAAGAUACCUGACAGAUUGGACCCUGAUAAAGUCUAUAAAGUCCAUUCAUAUGCUCAGAGAGAUCCCAAGGAAUAUGAUCAGCUUAAAAUACACAAUACCCCACAAAUGUACAAUGCCAAGUUCAUAAGAACCAAUGUCAGGUUCAUGAAUGCACCCAUUUCUCACAUGGAGACAGAGAAUACAAUGGCUGAGCAGACUUAUAACAGUGUCACUGGUGGCCCAAUACAUCGUAUCACGAUGUGAGCACCCAGGCACCUUACAGAAAGGACAGCACUCAGAGACAAGACUACCAGGCCAUUCAACAAACACACGCCCUGGUCAGACAUGGGAGGAACAACAACAGAGUGCCUGCUUCAGGAAUCGUUCCCAUGCUGAGCUCUAUUGGUAGCCCAAAGGUGUUGCUCGAGCACAUGUCUUUUAUUCACCAAUAUGAUUCAAGGAAAUUACAGGACCAACCAUACCAAGGAAGGCGACAUGGAGCUUUAGUGUGGAGCGAGGCUGGGCCAUGGUCUCCUGUCGGGGAGAGCACAUACCUCAACUCCGAGGGGUCAUGUUUGCCAGCGUUGCAGGGAGGAAGAGGGGGGAAAGAGGUAACCUCUCCCCAGCAGCAAGUUUUCAAUGACGGCAGGAUCCACUCCGGAAAGGCGGGCCCCAGCGCUAAAGGCACCAAGGCCAUCGCCUGCCACUCACCGACCCAUCCCUCCAGCCAGCUGUUUCACAGCUUCUAUACUCCCAUGACACAUAGGGGAGGGGUUGAGGGAGGGUUUGAGGGGAUCUCCUCAGUCUCUGACAGGGCUGCGGAGGGUCGGAGAGCUAUGCAUGCGGACGGCGAGGGGACUGUCUUGCAAAGGCAGGGAUCCAACAGUCAACAGGUGGAGAUUCAAGCCCCAGCCCAAAUUGCAGGCUCAGAGCCUAACAACUGAUGGCACUGAUGGCAUUUUAACACUUUAGGGGCUGCCUUAUGUAAAGAUCUGAGUAGAAAUCGGUUGCAAUUGUGUUACAUUUUUGGUCAAAAGUAAGAUAAAGAUUAAAAUAAUAAAAGGUUCAACCUGCAAAAGUAACUGCUGUUAAAUGGUAUUUUCAAUUAAAGAAAAAUACUGUAUAUGGUAUGUACAACUGUACAACCCAAUUCUAACCCCAAAUCAGGAGCCCUAAGCAAGAUUUGGUUGGGUCCCCCCUCCCCACCUUGCAGCAAAACAUUUUUUGUUGCU